CAGAUAGAUAGAUGGCACAAGAAUCCCUCUCCUGUGCCUCACCCAGUGAGAUGAGAAAACUGAAGAUCAGAGAGGCUGUAUGACAGACACCCAGAGUCAUCUACCUGCUGAGCAUCACCGUCAGGAUUUACACCCAGAUCUUUCUUGAUUCCAAGGCCAGGGUUCUUUCCACAAAGAUGUAGAAAGGUGGCUAGAGAAGUGAAGGGGUAGAUAAGUAGGGGGGAACCCUCUCAAACCUAUUUCAGGGAGACUUCUGGGAAGCAGGGUGUGAUUAACUUCUUAAAGGCAUGUCAUUAAAAUGAGCAAAGAUGAAUUUCUCACAUGAAGCUGAUGCAGCAUACUGCCAAGGAGACUGACAUUUUAAAUUUUCUUUUUGACAUGUACAAGUGGAGGAGGUGGUCUGGAACAGUGGAGAACAUACUGGAAGACUUGGGCUCUUCUCCAAUACCUACUACCUUUCUGACAUCGAGAAAAAAACAAAACAAA
Non-coding RNA from Phascolarctos cinereus (koala), 486 nucleotides. Lineage: Eukaryota; Metazoa; Chordata; Mammalia; Diprotodontia; Phascolarctidae. The record is from RefSeq and is a predicted model, not a curated record.